UUAAAUUGAAGAGUUUGAUCAUGGCUCAGAUUGAACGCUGGCGGCAGGCCUAACACAUGCAAGUCGAGCGGUAGCACAGAGAGCUUGCUCUCGGGUGACGAGCGGCGGACGGGUG
RNAcentral lists this ribosomal RNA (115 nucleotides) under Klebsiella pneumoniae. RNAcentral describes it as "partial 16S ribosomal RNA". It matches the Rfam family "Bacterial small subunit ribosomal RNA", at positions 1 to 108 of the family's 1533-position model. Lineage: Bacteria; Pseudomonadati; Pseudomonadota; Gammaproteobacteria; Enterobacterales; Enterobacteriaceae. The record is from RNAcentral.